Schistosoma haematobium is the source of this 73-nucleotide non-coding RNA. The record is from Rfam. NCBI's taxonomy places the organism in Eukaryota, Metazoa, Platyhelminthes, Trematoda, Strigeidida, Schistosomatidae.
GCCGGAAUAGCUUAGUUGGUAGAGCGUAAAACUGAAGUUCUAGGUGUCCUCGGUUCGAUCUCGGGUUCUGGCU